RNAcentral lists this long non-coding RNA (1781 nucleotides) under Sus scrofa (pig). RNAcentral's name for it is "lncRNA (ENSSSCG00005001678.1)". The record is from RNAcentral. Lineage: Eukaryota; Metazoa; Chordata; Mammalia; Artiodactyla; Suidae.
UUAAGAUUUGUGCUCUUUGAAUUUCCCAUGCAUUAAUUUUUAUUUUUUGCUUUUUAGGGCUGAACUCUUGGCAUGUGGAAGUUCCCACGCUAGGGGUCGAAUUGGAGCUACAGCUGCCGACCUAUACCACAGCCAGAGCAACUCGGGAUCUGAGCCGAAUCUGCAACCUACACCACAGCUCAUGGCAAUGCUGGAUCCUUAACCCACUGAGCGAGGCCAGGGAUUGAACCCACAUCCUCAUGGAUCCUAGUCGGGUCCUUUAACUUCUGAGCCACAAAAGGAACUUCCCCUGUGGGUUAAUUUAAAAGCAACAAUUUAUCUUUAGAGGGGAAGGUUAAAUUAGGAACUGAGGAUUAACAGACACUAAUGGAUCUAAAAUAGAUAAACAGCAAGGACCUACUGUAUAGCACAGGGAACUAUAUUCAAUAUUUUUAAUAACCUAUAAUAGAAAAUAUAUAUACACAUAUGUGUAUACAUAUGUAUAUAACCAAAUUACUUUGCUAUACAGCUGAAACACAGCAAAUCAACUACACUUUAAUUUUCGUGUGUGUCUUUUUUUUUUUUAAGGGGCUCACCUGCGGCACUUGGAAGUUCUCAGGCUAGGGCUCAAAUCAGAGCUGCAGCUGCCAGCCUACACCACAGCUCACAGACAACACCGGAUCCUUAACCCACUGAGUGAGGCCAGGGAUAGAACCCACGUCCUCAUGGUUACUAGUUGGGUUCGUUACCGUCGAGCUGCUAUGGGAACUCCCACUUCAAUUUUUUUUUUAAUUAAGGAAAAAAAAAAAGAUCUUUAGAAUGCGUAUGCAACCCCCAUGGGUAACUCCAAUUAAAUAAAGUCCAAACUCUCCUUAGCCUGGGAAAAUGGGUUUUGCAAUCUGACCCCUCCACCCAACCCACAUCAGCCAACCUGCUUUUCAAAUGCCACCUGUGCCUUGCUGGCUCCAGUCCCUGAUCUGGAGAGUCUCUCUGCCUAGUAGAGACUCCGUCCCCUCCAAGGCCCAGAUUAAAAGGCAUUUGCUGGCAGCCUUCUGUCUCUGAACUACUGAUAUAUUCGGGGUUGGGUAACUCUUUUUUUUUUUUUCAAUGGCUAUACCCACAUACGAAAAUUCCUGGGCUAGGGAUCAAAUCUGAGCUGCAGCUGCAACCUACACCACAGCUGUGGCAAUGCUGGAUCCUUAACCCACUGUACCACAUGGGGACUCCCAGCUGAGUAACACUUUGUUGCAGGGCUGGGAGUGUCCUGUACCUUGAAGGAGUGUCCCUGGCUCACUAGUGGCAGUAGCCAUCUACCCCUCCUUCCCAGGUUGUGACAACCCACAGUGGCUUUAGACAUUGCCACAUGGCCCUUGGGGGCAAAAUCAUCCCCCAGAGAAUGUUACAUAAGCUGCUGGUCCCUCCUGCUCCCCACAGUUUUUCUAGCCAUGGUGGCAUCUAUCACACACGGUCCACAGUGAACUGCAUUUGGGUCUUUCUGUCUCCACAAAUGACUAGAGGGCACCUGGGGUGCAAGGACCAGAUUCCUACUGUAAUCAUAUUCAAAUAUCCCUACCACUUCCUUGCUGAGUGAUUUUAGGGUAAUUAUAUUAUUUGGCCUCUCCAAGUCUACGUUUCCUCUUCUAAAAAGAGGCAAUGGGGAGGUCCUGUUGUGGCUCAGCAGGUAAAGAACCCAACAGUGUCCAUGAGGAUGCAGGUUCGAUCCCUGGCCUUGCUCAGUGGGUUAAGGGUCCAGCGUUGCCACGUAUGUCGGUGUAGGUCGUGGCUCAGAUCUCAAGUGGCUG